UUUGACAAUAUCUGUCCUUUUUCUUCAAAAACCAGGUUUAAAUUUCUUUUUAAUCAAAAUUUUUAUUAAAUUCUAUUUUCCGGUCUUAAACAUCGCAUAGUAUGCAUUCCCCAUGUUUCGCGGGAUUUUAUGAAUGAAUCCCUACUUGUAACCAACCCUGUACUUGUACUAAUACACAAUUCCGGUCACUUCCUAACAUAUGGCCAACUACGAGAAAAUGUCAUUCGCCACCAACCACGCCACCGACCACAAGCCAAAAAUUAUAUUUCCUCAUAAAUUCGCAAAUAAUUCUGCCGGCACCAUAAAACAGGGCAUAAAUAAUAUUCCGUCCCAUGCAACCAAUAAUUUGGCCCAAGAAAACAUUAAAAUAGGAGUCACAGGCAAUAAAACAUGGCCACAAAAACCAAAGAAAAAGUUUACACACAUACGUCCACACAUUCCACCCGUGCGUAUACAGCAAAAACCACCGCAUUUGGCAAAUUUUUGUCAAACGUAUGCGCACGGUGUGGGCUAAAUAUCCACAAUUAAUCAAUGAACAUAAACUCCCAGCAGCAGUUCCACACCAUGAUUACAUUCAUGAAGCCCAGGUUACGGCACCAAACACGAUCACAGACACAUAUACAAUGUGAUAUAUAUAUAUAUAUAUAUAGCCGGCCGAAUAUUUGUCAAUUCUUGCGAACUCUCGCUCUGUCUGGCGUAUAAAGAAAAACAUCGUUCAAAGAAAAACUGUCGCACCGAAUAUAUGUACAUUAAUGUGGGUCUACACUGCACGUUUCUUCCCAGUGAGUGUCGAUACGAUUCGAAUAAAGAUGACCAGGAGCCAAUUAAAUCUUUACACACCCAAUGACCGACAUCGCCAUAACCCAGCAAACCAUUUUGUAUAUGAUGCCAAUAAAUAUCAUCAUAAAAUUUUA
This is a long non-coding RNA of Stomoxys calcitrans (stable fly), 914 nucleotides long. RefSeq lists it as uncharacterized. Lineage: Eukaryota; Metazoa; Arthropoda; Insecta; Diptera; Muscidae. The transcript is spliced from 2 exons. The record is from RefSeq and is a predicted model, not a curated record.